GUUUGUGCAUUGCAGUAAUCACAUUUCAUUCCAGGGACUCCGGAUCAGGUCCGACACCUAAUAAGCUUUAGGACUAACAACGAGGAGAAUUUCAAUAAGAAGAAAUAUGCUGCUAAACCACUGUGGGAGAAACUCAUCAAAGAGCUGGAACUGGAGGGAAAGACAGUGGGGAGGCCACAGCAGCCUCAUGGCCUUUCUACGAAGAUAUGCAUGAGGUUUUGGGGUCCAGACCUUCAAUCCAGCCUCCAUGUUUGUUGGCGUCUUAUGAAGAUCCCACGCAAAUACUCAUGAACAUAAUCGACCCUCCAUCCUCACCGGUGUCCUCUCUGACAAAUUCAGAGGAAAGCACAGAGAACACUUUGGAAGACGCCAGCACAUCGGCCUCAAGCUCUGCCUCACCAGCUGGAAGAGGAA
Long non-coding RNA from Cololabis saira (Pacific saury), 414 nucleotides. RefSeq lists it as uncharacterized. The transcript has 5 exons. Lineage: Eukaryota; Metazoa; Chordata; Actinopteri; Beloniformes; Belonidae. The record is from RefSeq and is a predicted model, not a curated record.